RNAcentral lists this ribosomal RNA (497 nucleotides) under uncultured bacterium. RNAcentral's name for it is "partial 16S ribosomal RNA". It matches the Rfam family "Bacterial small subunit ribosomal RNA", at positions 28 to 507 of the family's 1533-position model. The record is from RNAcentral.
GAUGAACGCUGGCGGCGUGCCUAACACAUGCAAGUCGAGCGAACGGACGAGAAGCGUGCUUCUCUGAUGUUAGCGGCGGACGGGUGAGUAACACAUGCAUCACCUACCUAUAAGACUGGGAUAACAACGGGAAACCGGAGCUACUACCGGAUAAUAUUUUCAACCGCUUGGUUCAAAAGUGAAAGACGGUCUUGCUGUCACUUAUAGAUGGAUCCGCGCUGCAUUAGCUAGUUGGUAAGGUAACGGCUUACCAAGGCAACGAUGCAUAGCUGACCUGAGAGGGUGAUCGGCCACACUGGAACUGAGACACGGUCCAGACUCCUACGGGAGGCAGCAGUAGGGAAUCUUCCACAAUGGGCGAAAGCCUGACGGAGCCACGCCGCGUGAGUGAUGAAGGUCUUCGGAUCGUAAAACUCUGUUAUUAGGGAAGAACAUAAGUGUAAGUAACUGUGCACAUCUUGACGGUACCUAAUGAAUAAGCCACGGCUAACUACGUG